Lepus europaeus (European hare) is the source of this 2036-nucleotide long non-coding RNA. RefSeq lists it as uncharacterized. The transcript is spliced from 3 exons. The record is from RefSeq and is a predicted model, not a curated record. NCBI's taxonomy places the organism in Eukaryota, Metazoa, Chordata, Mammalia, Lagomorpha, Leporidae.
ACAAGCCACAUCAUGUUAGAUAUUUAAGAUAUAUUUAAAUACAUGUAUUCUUAAAAUUUAUAGAAGGCAUUGGACCUACAGUAAAUAUUUUAUAGGCUAUUAUUUAAUGGUUAAAACCACUUGUUAAUAUUCCAUUUGACAUUGUCAGUGGGCAUUCAGGCAAGCCUGACUUGCUCCCACAUUUCUCUAUUCUCUUUAAGAUGGGACACUGACUCUGUCCUGAGGGAUUCCUCAGGAUGUAGUUUGAUUUUUAGAUCUUAUGAAAGGAGUGACUAACAUGUUCUGUGUAACAGCAUAGCCAAAAUGAGAGCUUAAAUCAUAAUUUCAUGGCUGGACUUACUUCACCAUGGGAUCCCAAAUUCCCUUGGGCUAGAUGGUGAAAGUGGCAUCUUAAGUUUAAAAGUGACUGUAUUUGAUUGCAUUAAGUUUUAAGUUGGUCAUGUAGGAGGCACUAAUUGUUAAAGUGAUCAUAUCAAUAGAAUUAAUAUAAUUAAAGAGGAGUAAAUGCUUUAACAUGGGAAGCAGUCCAUACAGCAGACUCAUAGAAUGGCAAUUGCUCUAAGUAACGCUCAGUGACCUCAGAGUCAUCCCUAAAGGCAUUCUGAUCUGGCUAAAAAGCCCACAAGAGCAUUUCAGGCAUGGAAAGUCAGGACACUUGUGCGAAAAGGUGUACCUACAGGGAGAGUCUCCCUGGGUGAGACUCCUGUGGAAAGAAGUGGUCAUCAAAGAAGGAUGUACUCUCUUCAAAGGGAGAACUUUCACUUUGCUUACAUCCUUCUCUAAAUAUUGACUGAGUUUGUGGAUUCAGAAGGCUUCCAUAGCCUAGACAGCUCAUGUCAAGAGCCUUGGGUGAUCACUGACAUCACACAAAAGAGUGUGAAUUGUUAAAUUAACCAUAGGAGUCACUGUGCACUAACUUCCCAUGCAGGACCUCAAGACUAUGCUUAAAAAAACAGAGGGGAGAGUAUGAUACCCCCACUAUUAGUGUAUUAACUUUGCUCCUUUCACCAUAAAGUUCUUAUAGGUCUCACCCCCUGGAGAGCCACCAGCAUUGAAAUGCUGGAGACCUCUCACAGGUGCAACCCAAUUGCCUCUGGUUUGAUGGAGGGACCCAACCACCCAACAAUGGAAGGGGCCUGAUCCCCUCAUAAUGAUGGGCAAAGGUUUUGCUUGUGUUUUCCAGAGAUCACUCUGCAGCCUGUGUGGAUAGCAGCCUGAAAUGCCAAACCCUGGACCCAGUCUCUGAAAGCUCACCCUCUGACAAGCCAACUUCAGCGCCUUUCCCUGAACAAGCCAUUCACAGAAAGAUCCUCUUCAGAUCAGCUACAGCUUAAAUGGAAGGGACCUUACCAGGAAACUGGGUUGCCAGCGUCACUGCAGAGAACAAGAACAGUCCCACAGUGACAGAGGUGGAGCCUGGAGCUGGAGUCUCUACAAGCGGCAAGGACCCAUGGCAGUGUGGCCAGGAGUUCCCCAGGUCUCACAGAGGACAGAUGAAGAAGUCAAUAAAACUGGAGAAAAAGAUUCUACACACUUUUCAAAAGAUAAAGAGGAAGAAUACAUCUGGACUAAUCCAUAAUGCAAACAUUAUACAACUGCAAUGAUUGAAGAAAUCAAAUUUCCACAUGAGCAAUAAUAUAAAAAAUCAAACUAAAUUUUGAAACAGGAUAUUCUUCAAUAGGUGAAUGUAUGAGUAAACUGUGUUGUGUCUGAGAGACCUCAGCCUGGAUGAAGGCGCAGCUAUUUUAGAAUAGGCCUCCAUCUUGUAAUUCAGGCCUGACCGAGCCCUGAACCCUGAAGCUCAUGAAAGAAAAAAUAAAUAAAUGAACUCCCCUUGCAAUAAACCCCACCUAGCAACAGCCAAUCAGCAGCUAGCAGGGAGAUACCUAAAGUUUCAGGUGUCUUUUCAGGCACUUAAGGUAAUUGAUAAUAUCCUGAGACCCUGCAGUUUGGCAAGUACACCAUAGUGGCUCUGACCCUAUACUUUAGCCAAUCAUUUUUUUUUUUACUUUUUGACAGGCAGAGUGGACAGUGAG